AUGGGUAUGAGUCACAGUCAUG
Molecule: microRNA, 22 nt
Filed under: Panagrellus redivivus
Lineage: Eukaryota; Metazoa; Nematoda; Chromadorea; Rhabditida; Panagrolaimidae
Description: prd-miR-61-5p
Gene: prd-miR-61-5p
Source: miRBase by way of RNAcentral